Molecule: long non-coding RNA, 4875 nt
Filed under: Homo sapiens (human)
Lineage: Eukaryota; Metazoa; Chordata; Mammalia; Primates; Hominidae
Description: HSALNT0078273
Source: RNAcentral
CUUCUCUUGUUUCAUCUUUAUUUUUUCAAAUGUCAUCAGGAAAAAUGGGUAAGUGAAUAUUUUCAUUGAAACACAUAACAAUAUUUAGCAAAAUCUCAAAGCUGUAUAUGGUCUGGUGUUUUAUAUAACUUUGGCAUCCUAUUCAACUAAACCACAAAUGGGAUAUAUGGAAGUUAUUUCUUAUAUCCUUAAGCAUUUAUUUUCUUCUUGUUAAUGGAAUGUCUCAUGUCAGAGGCUCUAUAGGGAAAAUGAAACAUUAUUUUCAAAUAGGAUUAAACAAUUAUAUAACUCAUUGUUUUGGGGAUAUAGGAACAGAAGUCUCUCCUGAUAGGACUUAGUGCUUAUUAAAUAUAAGUUGAUAAUGAUGAUUAAUAUAGGCUGCAAUGGGGACUAAGCUCUAUCAUUGCUACAUUGUUCGCCUAUGCACACUGUGGGAAAAGGUUAUAACACUAUGGAUAUGCCAGAAAUGUGAGCAAAUGUUGAUUUACAUGGCACACAAAAAGUAGGAAGAUUUGAAAAAUUCUACUAGUGAUCAUCACUCACUGUGGAUAUACUGUCAGUAUGCUAAUAUUUUGGCCCCAAGAUGAAAACUUUACAGUUAAGUGAGUAGAGGCAAUAUAUCAGAACCUAUAUGUGAGUGAUAAGUUGCUAAUGGUUAGUGAUGCAUAUUUCAAGGAUUAUAAAUCUAUAUUUUUUAUUGCUGGCAUAUGCUAAAGUUGUAUGGAGAAAUGCAUUAUGAUUCAGCUUAAAAAAAGACACAUAAUCCAAGUGUCAGUUUGGAGCUAGUAAGUCUAAUAUGCUCCUUGUCCCACUAUUUGAGCAAAUAACCUUGCUCUUAUUUUAAUGAUGUUAUUUGAAUAAUGAAACAGUAACUUUCUCACUUAUUUCCAUUAAAUCUCCAGCUCAUUUGCAUUUAUAUACUCUGCCUCCUUCUAAUUACAAUUGCAGGACAUCUUGUCAUUCCUACAAGACGUUAGCCUUUCCUGCUCUGGAUUCCAUCCACUCCUGCUUCUAAAGGAUUUUGCUCAUUGAUUAACGCCUACCUCCUUUUCUCAAGGUUUAUUUAAUUUAUGUUUUAAUAUUUUCUUUAUUUAUUGGUAAAUUUCAGUAGCUUUUGGGGCACAAGUGUUUUUUUUUUUUUUGUCACAUGGAUAAAUUAUAUAGUGGUGAAUUCUGAGAUUUUAGUCCACCCAUCACUUGAGUAGUGUACAUUGUACCUAAUGUGUAGAUUUUUAUCCCUGGCACCGGUCCCUGCCUCCCUCUUCUGAGUCUCUGAAGUCCAUUAUAUCUAUCUGUAUGCUUUUGCAUGCCCAUAGCUUAGCUCCCACUUCCAAGUGAGAGCAUAUGAUUUUUUCUUUUCCACUCCGGUUACUUUACUUAGAAUAAUGUCCUACAGCUCCAUCUAAGUUUCUGCAAAAGACAUUAUGUCAUUCCUUUUAAUGGCUGAGUAGUAUUCCAUGGUGUAUAUAUACCACAUUUUCUUUAUCCAGUCAUUAGUCCACGGACACUUACGUUGGUUCCACAGAUUUGCAAUUGUAAAUUGUGUUGCUAUAAAAAUACGUGUGCAAGUGAGUGUCUUUUUCAUAUAAUGACUUCUUUUCCUUUGGGUAGGUACCCAGUAGUGGGAUUGCUGGAUCCAAUGGUAGAUCUACUUUUAGCUCUUUAAGAAAUCCCAUACUGUUUUCUAUAGAGGUUGCACUAAUUUACAUUCCCAGUAGCAGUAUAUAAGUGUUCCCUUUUCCUUACACCCACUCCAACAUCCAUUUUUUUUAACUUUUUACUAAUAGCCAUUCUUGCAGGAAUAAGGUGGUAUGUCAUUGUGGUUUUAAUUUGCAUUUCUCUGAUGAUUAGUGAUGGUGAGCAUUUUUUCAUGUUUCUUGAACAUUUGUGUAUCUUCUACUCAUGUCCAUUCCCCACUUUUUAAUGGGAAUAUUUUUUGUGUGUGUGGUAAUUUGUUUGAGUUCCUUAUAGAUCUGGACACUAGUCCUUUGUCAGGUGUGUAGUUUGCAAAUAUUUUUUCCCAUUCUGUGGGUUGCCUGUUUAUUGUUUAUUUAUUUUGCUAUGCAGGAGCUUUUUAGUUUAAUUUGGUCCCUAUUAUUUAUUUUUAUUUUUGUUGCAUUUGCUUUUGGGGUCUUACUCAUGAAUUCUUUGCCUAGGCUGGCAUCUGGAAAAGUUUUCCAACAUUGUUUUCCAACACAGAAAUUUUAUGGUUUCAGGUUUUAUAUUUAAGUCUUUGAUCCAUCUUGAGUCAAUUUUUGUAUAUGGUGAGAAAUAGGGAUCCAGUUUUAUUCUUCUACAUGUGGCUUGCCAGUUUUCCCAGCAUCAUUUAUUAAACAGGGUGUUUUGUACACUUUGUUGAAUAUCAGCUGGCUGUAAAGACUUAGCUUUAUUUCUGGGUUCUCUACUCUGUUCCACUGGUCUAUAUGCCUAGUUUUAUAUCAGUACCACGCUGUUUUGAAAACUACAGCCUUGUAGUAUAAUUUAAAGUCUGGUAACGUGAUGUCUCCAGAUUUGUUUCUUUUGCUUAUAAUUUCUUUGGCUAUUCAGGCUCUUUUCUAGUUCCUUAUGAAUUUUAGGAUUUUUUUUCUAAUUUUCUGAAAACUGGUGUUGGUAUUUUAUGGGAAUUGCAUUGAAUCUGUAGAUUGCUUUGGACAGCAUGGUCGUUUUCACUAUAUUAGUUCUUCAAAUCUGUGAGCAUGGGAUGUGUUUCCAAUGGUUUGUGUCAUCUAUGAUCUCAUUCAGCAGUAUUUUGUAGUUCUUCUUGUAGAGAUCUUUCACUUCCUCGGUUAGGUAUAUUCCUAGGUUUUUUUGGUUUUGGUUUUGUAGCUGCUGUAAAAGGGAUUGAGUUCUUGAUUUGAUUCUCAGCUUGGUUGUUGUUGGUAUAUAGCAGUGCUAUUGAUUUGUGUACAUUGAUUUUGUAACCUAAGACUUUAUUGAAUUCAUUUUUCAAAUCUGAGUGUCUUUUGGAGGAGUCCUUAGGAUUUUUAAGGAAUACAAUCGUAUCAUCUGCAAACAGCAAUCGUUUGACUUCCUCUUUUCCUACAUGAUUCUACAUCUAAUAGAAUCAUGUAUUAAAUAUCCAAUUAAAAAGUAAGUAAAACUCUAAAUUCUCACUUUUUAUUCCAUCUAUUGCUGAACUCCUCUGAUCCCCUUCCCAGUUAAACCACUUGAAAGAAUAAUCUACAAUCAUAUCUUCACUUUCUCAUCACUUUCAUUUUUUUCCUAAAAUCUUUCCAAAAUGACCCCACAUUCCACUCCUUGAGGAAGCUGCUACUAUCACAAGAGAUUUGCUAAAUGUAAUAAUUAGCAAAACUUGUCUCUUUACUUUCUUGAUCCUUCAACACCAUUCAGUACAGUUGACAUGUGUGGAAACAGUAUUUUUUCUUGACUUCGGUCCUACCAUUUUCCUGUUUUGUUUUUCUUUUAUCUCUUCCAUUUUUGCUUUUCUCCCAUAAACUUUUUUGCUAUUUUCUUCCAUUUGACACGUAAGUGCCCUAAGGUGCAGUUCUAAGUUCCCGUCUCUUCAAGCAAAUUUUUUUUUCUAAAUAAUUAAUUUCAUCUAGAGCAAUGGUUUUUUGUUUGUUUGUUUUUGUUUGUUUGUUUCAGAUGGAGUCUCACUCUGUUUCCCAGGAUGGAGUGCAGUGGCAUGAUCUCGGCUCACUGCAACCUCUGCCUUCUGGGUUCAAGCAAUUCUCCUGCCUCAGUUCCUGAGUAGCUGGGAUUACAGGCGCACACCACCAGGCCCAGCUAAUUUUUGCAUUUUUAGUAGAGACAAGGUUUUACCAUGUUGGUCAGGCUAGUCUCCAACUCUUGACCUCGUGAUCUGCCCACCUCAGCCUCCCAAAACGCUGGGAUUACAGGCGUGAGCCACUGUGCCCAGCCUAGAGCAAUGGUUUUAAAUAAUAUCUAUAUAUUCCCAAAUCUAUAUCUCUAUAGCUAAAGUCCACAGACUAAUAAACAGCUUCCGAUAUAUCCUUUUCCUUGAGUGACAAAUAUCCAUUAUAGAUUUAACAGGACCAAACAAAAUACUUGAUAUUAUUCUAAAACCUGUUCCUCAUCCUGUCUUCUUUAUCUUAGUAGAUGCAAACAUUACCUACCCAAUUGUUCAAGCCAACACCAAAAUGUCAUUCUAUAUUCCCUUCUUUUCCUCACUGCGACAUCCAGCCCACUAUCAAAUCCUGUGACAUUCCUUCCAAAAUGUAUCCUGAAAAUAUAAUUUCCCUUCACUCAAUCUCUCCCCAGCAAAUAGAGUGUUCUAUUAAAAAUGGAAACCAUAUCAUAUCUCCUUACUGCACUUUAGCUUAAAUACUUCAGCAACUUCUAAUCACGUACAAUCUCUACAUUAUGCUUUACAUCUUUGCAUCUUACUUAUAAUAAACUUCUGAUUCUGGUUUUAGAGUCUUCCUGAUCUGGUACCUGUGUUUCACCUUGCACAAUUUCUUUCUCUCUCUCCUUCACUCUCUGCUGUGAACACAUUUAUCCUCCUUCUGUUUCUUCUUCAUAUCUUAGCACAUUGUAGAAGCAUUCUCCUUUGCACAGAAUGUUGUUCUCUCUUCCUGGAAUAUUCUUCCUCUUCAGCUUAAAAUGUCUGCAUUCUUGUCAUUCAAGCCCAGAACUGCCUUGGUGGUUACACAGGCCAUCCACAGUAAUCACAUUCAGUUCUUAGUUCAAAUUUCAUCCAUGGAGACAAGCCUUCUAAUCCCUUUUUCUCACAUUUCCAUUAGCCAGAACUUAGUCCCAUGGCAAUACUUAAUGAUAAGGAGGGCUGAAAAGUUUAGAAAGUAGCUGGAUGUUCAUGAACCAAGCUACAAACCAGGAGAUUCCAUAAAUUCAAGGAGGAAGGGAAGAUCGUAUAAUGGAGAUCAACAUUCUUUG